CAAUAGAUAAAUGAAUAUAUAAAGAAACCGCAAAGACUACAAUCAUGGUGUAAAGGGAAAGGAGAUAGAGAAAGAGAGAAAGAGAGCCCUUUGGUUGGUUCAGUCACCAGAGCCAGAGGGUAGAAAUAUUGUUUCAGGAAGGAGAGAAGAACCCAUAAUUCUCCCUCUCCAAUCAUGCCAUUUUUGAGGAUUGUUUGGCCUCUCCUUCCUGGAUUUAGGGUUUCGCAGCUAACAUCUCUGUCGUGGCGCUUGUAAAUGUAUCUUUGUAGACUGCUUCCUCCUUGGAUCUGUCAUAUUAUUGCAUGCAUGGGGUGAGCUUUUCGGUUCCUUUUACUAUGUAUGAAAGUACAUUCUGUUUGAUUCUGGAGAAAAAAUUUUGAUUUUUGACUUUUUCAACAGAAGAUUGAACGCCUAUAAUUCUUUUACUGUUCUAGUUUGCUUGCGUAAGCUUUCUGGUUCUGGAUCACUAAAUCAGAAGGAUUAAUUGUGUAGGUUCAGUUUACUUUUUAUUUGGUUUGGAAUCUUUUCUGUUUGCUUAAUCUGUAAGCUAGCUUGAGUGGAGUGAACAGAAAAGCAUGCUCUGUCUUUUAUUCUGUAUUAGUCAUUCUUUCCUUGAAGCAGUUGUCAAUCUUGUACCCUAAAGAUAGGAUUAUUCUUUAGCACAAGUUUCUGUGGUUACUGUAUUCUGGGUGUUGUUUCCCGAAAGAAACGGAGAGAUGAUUUGAGAAGUAACCUGGCUGUUCAUUUGUAUUCUUUUCUGGUGCUUGUUUCCAGGCUCUUUUGUUUGUAACUAUGGAAUCAUUUAAGAACAAAUGCAAGGAUAUUUUCAGUGUGAGGAAAUCUUUUUAUCUGUUUCCUUCUUUUUGAGUCUGAAUUUAUAUAGGACGGGAAUUUUGUUUUUGUUUGAAUAUAUACUUUGUUCAGCAAUAGCAAUGUAGUCGAGCUUGAACUGAACUUUGUUCCAGGUGUAUGAAUUUUUAGCAAUUAUUGUAUCCAGAUGGUAUUUGUAGAUUGUGUCCAUUAAGCUGGACACAUUUUCUUAUGGCAGGCCCAAACUGCUGUGUUACAAUUUAACUGGCUGUGUCUUCACAGACCUAGUAGAUAAUUAUUUUUGUGAAAAUUGGUGGAAAAUUUUGCUCCUUUAGUGAUGAAUUUGAUCGUAUUAAGUUCUGUUUAUUUUAGUGGAUACAGGUGCGGAAAUUUUUUUGGUGAUUUUUUCUGGCUUUGAUUGAUAAAGGAGAUGUAUCAUAUCUCUUCUCCUUCUCUUUAUUUUUCAGUUUUUUUUUUCUUUAAUCACAAUGAUAAUGGUGUGAUUUCAUGUUCUCUAAAUAUCUUGUUUAUGUUUAAGAGUUUUCCAUAUAGUUAUUUUAUGCUUGGGCCAAAUGAUGAGAUUCUGACUCAUGGAAUUUUUUUGCCACUUAUCAACUUGCUGAAGAAGAUGUAGAAUUUAACUUCUCUACCUUGCCACUGUCUUCUGUUGUGGUUGACUGACUGUUAUUUAUCAAAUGGCACUUUUAUGUUUUUUGAGGGAGGGAUUUAUUGUUCGCCAUAAGUUGACACAUCUGCAAGCUUGAGAUCCCCCAUCCCUUUUUGGUGAAGGGACCCACCAAGGGGUGGAGUCUUUCGGGAACUGUUUGUAUACCUGAAUGCUUAAUUUUAUUCUCUUGCAUAUUUUUUCUCUUUUCGUGCAUCAUCAUUUUUUAUUCAAGCUGCUAAACCUGAAGUGGGAUUCAGUUUGUUAACGUUUGGUGCUAAUCACGUCUACGGUGAAACCUGAUUUGUAACAGAGCAGAGGUUGUUUUGGAUGCUGUGCUAAACCUUCUACAAUUCUUGCGGUUGAUCACUCAUCAAAGGGUCUGAGAAUUCAAGACCAAACAGCAAAGCAAGACAGCAUUUCAGACGACUUUUGGAGCACCAGUGCAGGUGAAAUGGACUGUAGUGGACUACAAUCCCAAAGAAGUAUUUCAUCAAUCAGCACCUUGAAUCAGCCCCUUGAUCCCUAUACUAAUGCUGGCAGCACAAGCAAUCCUUCUGAAUUUGUAAAUCAUGGCCUUCUUCUUUGGAUGCAAACAAGGCAGCAAUGGCUUGCAAAUAAGAGGUCUCCAAGCAGGAAACAAGUUCGAGAACCAGCAAUAAGUUGGAAUGCCACUUACGAUAGUUUGCUUGGGAUAAACAAGCCUUUCCCCCGACCUGUCCCUCUUGGUGAAAUGGUGGAUUUUCUUGUUGACGUUUGGGAACAAGAGGGUUUGUAUGACUAAAUAAGCUGGAAAUUUUACAAGUGCUUUCUCCUUCCUUGAAUAUCGCCUAAAGGUUGCACCUAGCAAGGCUUAGUUCCAUUAGCUAAUGGCAUACCUCAAACUUAGCAGGUGUUAGGUUCUAGUCUCCUAAUUCCUCUGUAUGAUUAUUAUAGCCUUUUUUUUUUUUUUUUUUUU
Molecule: unclassified non-coding RNA, 2432 nt
Filed under: Hevea brasiliensis (rubber tree)
Lineage: Eukaryota; Viridiplantae; Streptophyta; Magnoliopsida; Malpighiales; Euphorbiaceae
Source: RNAcentral